UACGUCCUACGGGAGAAAGCAGGGGACCUUCGGGCCUUGCGCUAAUAUAUGAGCCUAAGUCGGAUUAGCUAGUUGGUGGGGUAAAGGCCUACCAAGGCGACGAUCUGUAGCGGGUCUGAGAGGAUGAUCCGCCACACUGGGACUGAGACACGGCCCAGACUCCUACGGGAGGCAGCAGUGGGGAAUAUUGGACAAUGGGGGGAACCCUGAUCCAGCCAUGCCGCGUGUGUGAAGAAGGCCUUUUGGUUGUAAAGCACUUUAAGCGAGGAGGAGGCUACUAGUAUUAAUACUACUGGAUAGUGGACGUUACUCGCAGAAUAAGCACCGGCUAACUCUGUGCCAGCAGCCGCGGUAAUACAGAGGGUGCGAGCGUUAAUCGGAUUUACUGGGCGUAAAGCGUGCGUAGGCGGCUGAUUAAGUCGGAUGUGAAAUCCCUGAGCUUAACUUAGGAAUUGCAUUCGAUACUGGUCAGCUAGAGUAUGGGAGAGGAUGGUAGAAUUCCAGGUGUAGCGGUGAAAUGCGUAGAGAUCUGGAGGAAUACCGAUGGCGAAGGCAGCCAUCUGGCCUAAUACUGACGCUGAGGUACGAAAGCAUGGGGAGCAAACAGGAUUAGAUACCCUGGUAGUCCAUGCCGUAAAC
RNAcentral lists this ribosomal RNA (639 nucleotides) under Acinetobacter sp. Its description in RNAcentral is "bacterial SSU rRNA". It matches the Rfam family "Bacterial small subunit ribosomal RNA", at positions 173 to 807 of the family's 1533-position model. Lineage: Bacteria; Pseudomonadati; Pseudomonadota; Gammaproteobacteria; Moraxellales; Moraxellaceae. The record is from RNAcentral.